Molecule: ribosomal RNA, 441 nt
Filed under: uncultured bacterium
Lineage: Bacteria
Description: partial 16S ribosomal RNA
Rfam family: Bacterial small subunit ribosomal RNA
Source: RNAcentral
CCUACGGGAGGCAGCAGUGGGGAAUAUUGGGCAAUGGGCGCAAGCCUGACCCAGCAACGCCGCGUGAAGGAUGAAGGUUUUCGGAUUGUAAACUUCUGUCGCGAGGGACGAAGAAUGACGGUACCUCGUAAGAAAGCCCCGGCUAACUACGUGCCAGCAGCCGCGGUAAUACGUAGGGGGCAAGCGUUGUCCGGAAUGACUGGGCGUAAAGGGAGUGUAGGCGGCUUAUCAAGUUAGAUGUGAAAUCCCGCGGCUUAACCGCGGAACUGCAUCUAAAACUGGUGAGCUGGAGUGCAGGAGAGGUGAGUGGAAUUCCUAGUGUAGCGGUGGAAUGCGUAGAUAUUAGGAGGAACACCAGAGGCGAAGGCGACUCACUGGACUGUAACUGACGCUGAGGCUCGAAAGCGUGGGGAGCAAACAGGAUUAGAUACCCUUGUAGUC